Long non-coding RNA from Microtus oregoni (creeping vole), 225 nucleotides. RefSeq lists it as uncharacterized. NCBI's taxonomy places the organism in Eukaryota, Metazoa, Chordata, Mammalia, Rodentia, Cricetidae. The record is from RefSeq and is a predicted model, not a curated record. The transcript has 3 exons.
AGAUUAAACAAGGCUGCCACCUGGAUGUCACAUCACAGUCCAGCGUGGGUGACAGAGGUCCCAGGAGGAGCUUUCAGGAUGAUUGCUGGUAAAGUCUGCAGUGGACAGAGCUUACAAGUCCCAGGCCAGAGGGAUUUUCAGUGAUGGCUGCCUCUCCUCUCGCUCCAUGCCCUCCCUGUUCAUGUCACCAGACCCUGCCACCAACGUACGGAUCACAUAUUCCAG